GUUGCAAUUGUUCUUUGAAAACUAGAUAUAUAAACAUGACGAAGUCAAUUUUUUCGAGAGUUUGAUCCUGGCUCAGGAUGAACGCUGGCUGUGUGCCUAAUACAUGCAUGUCGAGCGAAGUGAUUUAUCACUUAGCGGCGAAUGGGUGAGUAACACGUACUCAACGUACCCUUCAGUUUGGCAUAGCGGUUGGAAACAACCGAUAAUUCCAAAUACUCGUAGAUGCCGCAUGGCAUUUACGGAAAAGACGCCUUAAAGCGUCGCUGGAGGAGCGGGGUGCGCAACAUUAGCUAGUUGGUGAGGUAACGGCCCACCAAGGCGAUGAUGUUUAGCGGGGUUGAGAGACUGAUCCGCCACACUGGGACUGAGAUACGGCCCAGACUCCUACGGGAGGCAGCAGUAGGGAAUAUUCCACAAUGGACGAAAGUCUGAUGGAGCGACACAGCGUGCAGGAUGAAGGCCCUAUGGGUUGUAAACUGCUGUGGUAAGGGAAUAAAAAAUAGUGUAGGAAAUGCCACUAUAUUGAAUGUACCUUAUUAGAAAGCAACGGCUAACUAUGUGCCAGCAGCCGCGGUAAUACAUAGGUUGCAAGCGUUAUCCGGAAUUAUUGGGCGUAAAGCGUCUGUAGGUUGUUUGUUAAGUCUGGCGUUAAAUUUUGGGGCUCAACCCCAAACCGCGUUGGAUACUGGCAGACUAGAGUUAUGUAGAGGUUAGCGGAAUUCCUUGUGAAGCGGUGAAAUGCGUAGAUAUAAGGAAGAACACCAACAUGGCGAAGGCAGCUAACUGGACAUACACUGACACUGAGAGACGAAAGCGUGGGGAGCAAACAGGAUUAGAUACCCUGGUAGUCCACGCCCUAAACGUUGAUCAUUAGCUGAUGGGGAACUCAUCGGCGCAGCUAACGCAUUAAAUGAUCCGCCUGAGUAGUACGUUCGCAAGAAUAAAACUUAAAGGAAUUGACGGGGACCCGCACAAGCGGUGGAGCAUGUGGUUUAAUUUGAAGAUACGCGUAGAACCUUACCCACUCUUGACAUCUUCUGCAAAGCUAUAGAGAUAUAGUGGAGGUUAACAGAAUGACAGAUGGUGCAUGGUUGUCGUCAGCUCGUGUCGUGAGAUGUUCGGUUAAGUCCUGCAACGAGCGCAACCCUUAUCCUUAGUUACUAACAUUCAGUUGAGCACUCUAGGGAGACUGCMCGAGUAAUCGGGAGGAAGGUGGGGACGACGUCAAAUCAUCAUGCCUCUUACGAGUGGGGCCACACACGUGCUACAAUGGCCGGUACAAAGUGAAGCAACCUGGUGACAGUGAGCAAACCACAAAAAGCCGGUCUCAGUUCGGAUUGGAGUCUGCAACUCGACUCCAUGAAGUCGGAAUCGCUAGUAAUCGUAGAUCAGCUACGCUACGGUGAAUACGUUCUCGGGUCUUGUACACACCGCCCGUCAAACCAUGGGAGCUGGUAAUGCCCGAAGUCGGUUUAUUAACAAACUGCCUAAGGCAGGACUGGUGACUGGGGUUAAGUCGUAACAAGGUAUCCCUACGAGAACGUGGGGAUGGAUUACCUCCUUUCUACGGAGUACAAAGCUAAUUUAAUUAGCAUUAACCUUAUUUUUCAGACCUACUAUUAUUAUUUAU
This 1630-nucleotide ribosomal RNA is filed under the name Mycoplasmopsis bovigenitalium. Its description in RNAcentral is "16S ribosomal RNA". Lineage: Bacteria; Bacillati; Mycoplasmatota; Mycoplasmoidales; Metamycoplasmataceae. The record is from RNAcentral.